This 329-nucleotide unclassified non-coding RNA is filed under the name soil metagenome. RNAcentral describes it as "partial contains 5.8S ribosomal RNA, internal transcribed spacer 2, and large subunit ribosomal RNA". The stretch from base 1 to 120 matches the Rfam family "5.8S ribosomal RNA", at positions 35 to 154 of the family's 154-position model. The record is from RNAcentral.
GAUGAAGAACGCAGCGAAAUGCGAUAAGUAAUGUGAAUUGCAGAAUUCAGUGAAUCAUCGAAUCUUUGAACGCACAUUGCGCCCCUUGGUAUUCCGAGGGGCAUGCCUGUUCGAGCGUCAUUAUAACCCCUCAAGCUCAGCUUGGUGUUGGGGCCUGCUGCACUGGCAGCCCUUAAAAUCAGUGGCGGCGCCAUCUGGCUCUAAGCGUAGUAAUUCUUCUCGCUAUGGAGUCCUGGUGGAUGCUUGCCAUCAACCCCCAAUUUUUCUAUGGUUGACCUCGGAUCAGGUAGGGAUACCCGCUGAACUUAAGCAUAGCAAUAAGCGGAGGA